CAGGAAACUGUCAAAUGGGGCAUUUGGAAAUGACAGACAUCGAAUCAACAGGUUUGCUGCUGUUUUAGGAUUUGCCAAUUGUUAACAUAGUGGCGCAUCUGCUGUUUCAUAAAGGUCAUGCUGUCACAUAAUUCUUGUCUGCAGAGCUUCAUUCACUACAAGAGACACUGAACUUGAUGACGACUGGAUGGGGCUGAAAUCAAUGAUUGAUGUUUUCUAAGCAAACCAUCAGUUUUGCACAUCCAUUAUUACCAUCAACACAUCCAUGCCCAUCCCCAACUCAGAGGUUCAACGCCAAAUAUUGAAAAUCCUGUGACAAGCAACUGGUGAUGAGGAAGCCAUUGAAGACUGAGUUUUUAAAAAUAAAUGAAUAUGUGGCAAUUUUAUAAUCAUGAUGAAUUAUAAAAUAGAGAAGUGAGAUGUUG
This 425-nucleotide long non-coding RNA is filed under the name Homo sapiens (human). RNAcentral describes it as "HSALNT0246888". The record is from RNAcentral. Lineage: Eukaryota; Metazoa; Chordata; Mammalia; Primates; Hominidae.